GGGGGUUCCCGGGAUUAUUGGGCGUAAGAGCUCGUAGGCGGUUUGUCGCGUCUGCCGUGAAAGUCCGGGGCUCAACUCCGGAUCUGCGGUGGGUACGGGCAGACUAGAGUGAUGUAGGGGAGACUGGAAUUCCUGGUGUAGCGGUGAAAUGCGCAGAUAUCAGGAGGAACACCGAUGGCGAAGGCAGGUCUCUGGGCAUUAACUGACGCUGAGGAGCGAAAGCAUGGGGAGCGAACAGGAUUAGAUACCCUGGUAGUCCAUGCCGUAAACGUUGGGCACUAGGUGUGGGGGACAUUCCACGUUUUCCGCGCCGUAGCUAACGCAUUAAGUGCCCCGCCUGGGGAGUACGGCCGCAAGGCUAAAACUCAAAGGAAUUGACGGGGGCCCGCACAAGCGGCGGAGCAUGCGGAUUAAUUCGAUGCAACGCGAAGAACCUUACCAAGGCUUGACAUGGGCCGGACCGGGCUGGAAACAGUCCUUCCCCUUUGGGGCCGGUUCACAGGUGGUGCAUGGUUGUCGUCAGCUCGUGUCGUGAGAUGUUGGGUUAAGUCCCGCAACGAGCGCAACCCUCGUUCCAUGUUGCCAGCGCGUAAUGGCGGGGACUCAUGGGAGACUGCCGGGGUCAACUCGGAGGAAGGUGGGGACGACGUCAAAUCAUCAUGCCCCUUAUGUCUUGGGCUUCACGCAUGCUACAAUGGCCGGUACAAAGGGUUGCGAUACUGUGAGGUGGAGCUAAUCCCAAAAAGCCGGUCUCAGUUCGGAUUGGGGUCUGCAACUCGACCCCAUGAAGUCGGAGUCGCUAGUAAUCGCAGAUCAGCAACGCUGCGGUGAAUACGUUCCCGGGCCUUGUACACACCGCCCGUCAAGUCACGAAAGUUGGUAACACCCGAAGCCGGUGGCCUAACCCCUUGUGGGAGGGAGCUGUCGAAGGUGGGACUGGCGAUUGGGACUAAGUCGUAACAAGGUAAC
RNAcentral lists this ribosomal RNA (969 nucleotides) under uncultured bacterium. Its description in RNAcentral is "bacterial SSU rRNA". It matches the Rfam family "Bacterial small subunit ribosomal RNA", at positions 537 to 1500 of the family's 1533-position model. The record is from RNAcentral.